Molecule: ribosomal RNA, 511 nt
Filed under: uncultured bacterium
Lineage: Bacteria
Description: partial 16S ribosomal RNA
Rfam family: Bacterial small subunit ribosomal RNA
Source: RNAcentral
GACGAACGCUGGCGGCGUGCCUAAUACAUGCAAGUCGAGCGGAAGUUGAAGAGCUUGCUCUUCAACUUUAGCGGCGGACGGGUGAGUAACACGUGGGCAACCUGCCCUGCAGAUCGGGAUAACUCCGGGAAACCGGUGCUAAUACCGAAUAGUUUUCGCCACCUCCUGGCGACGUACGGAAAGACGGUUUCGGCUGUCCCUGCAGGAUGGGCCCGCGGCGCAUUAGCUAGUUGGUGGGGUAACGGCCCACCAAGGCGACGAUGCGUAGCCGACCUGAGAGGGUGAUCGGCCACACUGGGACUGAGACACGGCCCAGACUCCUACGGGAGGCAGCAGUAGGGAAUCUUCCGCAAUGGACGAAAGUCUGACGGAGCAACGCCGCGUGAGUGACGAAGGUUUUCGGAUCGUAAAACUCUGUUGUGAGGGAAGAACAAGUACCACUUAACUACUGGUACCUUGACGGUACCUCACCAGAAAGCCAUGGCUAACUACGUGCCAGCCGCCGCGGUAA